RNAcentral lists this ribosomal RNA (479 nucleotides) under uncultured bacterium. Its description in RNAcentral is "bacterial SSU rRNA". It matches the Rfam family "Bacterial small subunit ribosomal RNA", at positions 30 to 524 of the family's 1533-position model. The record is from RNAcentral.
AUUGAACGCUGGCGGCAUGGAUUAGGCAUGCAAGUCGAACGAGAUGCUAUAGCUUGCUAUAGUUGAGAGUGGCGAAAGGGUGAGUAACAAGUGAGUAAUCUACCUCUAACUCGGGGAUAGCCCAUGGAAACGUGGAUUAAUACCGGAUGUGAAUGGUUGAUCGCAUGGUCUUCUGUUUAAAAUUUUUUGGUUGGAGAUGAGCUCGCUUCCCAUUAGCUUGUUGGUAGGGUAACGGCUUACCAAGGCUACGACGGGUAGGUGGUCUGAGAGGAUGGUCACCCACACUGGAACUGAGACACUGUCCAGACUCCUACGGGAGGCUGCAGUCGAGAAUCUUCCGCAAUGGACGAAAGUCUGACGGAGCGAUGCCGCGUGAAUGAUGAAGGCCUUCGGGUUGUAAAAUUCUGUCACCAGGGGCGAAAUUUGACGGUACCUGGAGAGGAAGUGACGGCUAACUACGUGCCAGCAGCCGCCGUAAU